CCAUUUGUGGCCGAGUGCAUAAGACGAAGGACUUAAAAUCCUUUUGGGGGGCUCCCCCCGUAGGUUCGAAUCAUACCGGUGCGGA
Molecule: non-coding RNA, 85 nt
Organism: Trichonephila inaurata madagascariensis
Lineage: Eukaryota; Metazoa; Arthropoda; Arachnida; Araneae; Nephilidae
Source: the annotation of a GenBank genome assembly